This 102-nucleotide transfer RNA is filed under the name Aureobasidium melanogenum CBS 110374. It matches the Rfam family "tRNA". From Rfam's summary of the family: Transfer RNA (tRNA) molecules are approximately 80 nucleotides in length. Their secondary structure includes four short double-helical elements and three loops (D, anti-codon, and T loops). The record is from Rfam by way of RNAcentral. Lineage: Eukaryota; Fungi; Ascomycota; Dothideomycetes; Dothideales; Saccotheciaceae.
GCUGUCUUAGUCUAGUGGUUUAAGACGCUGCCCUCCCAUCUAGAGGCAACUCUGGUGACCGAGGAAAGGCAGAGGUCAUGGGUUCGACUCCCAUAGGCAGCA